GCCCAGUUAGCUCAGCAGGCCAGAGCACCUCCAUGGUAAGGAGGGGGUCGUCGGUUCGAAUCCGACACUGGGCU
RNAcentral lists this transfer RNA (74 nucleotides) under Thermoleophilaceae bacterium. RNAcentral's name for it is "tRNA-Thr". It matches the Rfam family "tRNA". Rfam says of the family: Transfer RNA (tRNA) molecules are approximately 80 nucleotides in length. Their secondary structure includes four short double-helical elements and three loops (D, anti-codon, and T loops). Further hydrogen bonds mediate the characteristic L-shaped molecular structure. tRNAs have two regions of fundamental functional importance: the anti-codon, which is responsible for specific mRNA codon recognition, and the 3' end, to which the tRNAs corresponding amino acid is attached (by aminoacyl-tRNA synthetases). tRNAs cope with the degeneracy of the genetic code in two manners: having more than one tRNA (with a specific anti-codon) for a particular amino acid; and 'wobble' base-pairing, i.e. permitting non-standard base-pairing at the 3rd anti-codon position. RNAcentral also lists the same sequence under 1 other name. The record is from RNAcentral. Lineage: Bacteria; Bacillati; Actinomycetota; Thermoleophilia; Thermoleophilales; Thermoleophilaceae.